AUGUCUGGGGACGCUCGUCUGCGGCUUAUUAACUUCGUGCUCUCCGCCAUUCCGGUGUACUUAAUCACCAUCUUUAAGCUUGGUGCUUGGGCCAUCAAGCAAAUCGACAAGCUACGGCGGAACUUCCUAUGGCGCUCCCGGCCGGAGGCAGACAAGGGCAUUGCUCUGGUCAACUGGUCCACGGUAUGCCGCCCGAAAUACCUUGGGGGUCUUGGUGUGAUUGAUCUGAAGCAGUUUGGAAGGGCGCUGCGGCUUAGGUGGAAGUGGCUCGAGUGGCGGGACCAGAACAGGCCUUGGGUUGGCUCUCCCACUCCCUGUGACCGAGAUGACGAGGCUCUGUUUGCUGCUGCUACAAAUAUCACCAUGGGCAAUGGUUCGCGGGCUCGCUUCUGGCAAGACCGAUGGCUUCAUGGUGAGGCGCCUUGUCAACUAGCACCUGACGUCUUCCGUCUCUGCUACAGGAAGAAUUUCUCAGUGGCACAGGGACUCGCAGACCAACGCUGGUUGUCGGGUUUGCAUCGCAUAUCCACUGAGCCUGAGCUUCGUCAAUUCACCUUUCUUUGGACAAAGCUGCGGCACUUUGUUCUGGACCCGAACAGGGAAGAUAGUAUAUCUUGGAACCGCACUGUCUCGACGACAUACACUGCCAGAUCGGCAUAUCACGCUCAAUUUCUUGGUUCUGCACCGGUUGCUAAUUACGACAAGUUGUGGAAGGCCAAGGUCGAGGGCAAAUGCAGGUUCUUCUUCUGGCUUUUCCUCAAGGGCAAAAUUCUGACCAACGACAACUUGGCAAGGCGUGCACUCCCGCACAAUCCGAGGUGCAAUCUCUGCGAUCAGGAAGAAGAAUCUGCCUUCCAUCUUAUCCUGCAAUGCCCCUUUGCACGCUCUGUGUGGCACCUGGUGGAGAACUUCCAUUCUGCUCCUGGACUGGCCACGGCUGCCAUGCAUGCCACCUCUAUCAUCUCCUGGUGGAAUGAUGUAAUCUGCCCCCUUGGCAAGAAGACCACUACCACGGCCAUUUACACCUGCUGGAAUAUCUGGAAGGAACGAAACAGACGCGUAUUCGAGCAUAAGACUCUUGCUGAGCAGGGUGUGCUUCUCCUCAUCAACCAGGAAAUUCUUCAACCUAUGCUUUCAUCUCACUGGCUUAGUGAUGUUGAGAACCAGCCAGAACCUGAGCCAGACUAG
Molecule: ribosomal RNA, 1188 nt
Filed under: Triticum aestivum (bread wheat)
Lineage: Eukaryota; Viridiplantae; Streptophyta; Magnoliopsida; Poales; Poaceae
Description: partial small subunit ribosomal RNA
Source: RNAcentral